AAUGAACGUUGGCGGCGUGGAUUAGGCAUGCAAGUCGCGCGAUAAGUCCCCGCAAGGGGAUGGAAAGCGGCGAAAGGGACAGUAAUGCGUAGAUACCUACCCUCAGGAUCGGGAUAGCUGCGGGAAACUGCAAUUAAUACCGAAUAACGUCUCCGGACCAAAGGUGUGAUUCCGCCGGAGGAUGGGUCUGCGUCCUAUUAGCUAGUUGGUGUGGUAACGGCGCACCAAGGCAAAGAUGGGUAGCAGGUGUGAGAGCACGACCUGCGUCACUGGGACUGAGACACUGCCCAGACACCUACGGGUGGCUGCAGUCGAGGAUCUUCGGCAAUGGGCGCAAGCCUGACCGAGCGACGCCGCGUGCGGGAUGAAGGCCUUCGGGUUGUAAACCGCUGUCAGAGAGGCGGAAAUCUAGGGGGGUUCUCCCCUUUAGUUGACCUAAUCUCAGAGGAAGUGCGGGCUAAGUCCGUGCCAGCAGCCGCAGUAA
This 484-nucleotide ribosomal RNA is filed under the name uncultured bacterium. RNAcentral describes it as "partial 16S ribosomal RNA". It matches the Rfam family "Bacterial small subunit ribosomal RNA", at positions 29 to 523 of the family's 1533-position model. The record is from RNAcentral.